UAACGUGUAAUGUGUGUCCCUAAAA
Molecule: small RNA, 25 nt
Filed under: Bombyx mori (domestic silkworm)
Lineage: Eukaryota; Metazoa; Arthropoda; Insecta; Lepidoptera; Bombycidae
Description: ovarian small RNA-18911
Source: RNAcentral